This 253-nucleotide ribosomal RNA is filed under the name uncultured bacterium. Its description in RNAcentral is "partial 16S ribosomal RNA". It matches the Rfam family "Bacterial small subunit ribosomal RNA", at positions 524 to 776 of the family's 1533-position model. The record is from RNAcentral.
UACGUAGGGUGCGAGCGUUAAUCGGAAUUACUGGGCGUAAAGCGUGCGCAGGCGGUUUCUUAAGUCAGAUGUGAAAGCCCCGGGCUUAACCUGGGAACUGCGUUUGAAACUGGGAGACUUGAGUGUGGCAGAGGGGGGUGGAAUUCCACGUGUAGCAGUGAAAUGCGUAGAUAUGUGGAGGAACACCAAUGGCGAAGGCAGCCCCCUGGGUCAACACUGACGCUCAUGCACGAAAGCGUGGGGAGCAAACAGG